Molecule: ribosomal RNA, 183 nt
Filed under: uncultured bacterium
Lineage: Bacteria
Description: partial 16S ribosomal RNA
Rfam family: Bacterial small subunit ribosomal RNA
Source: RNAcentral
GCAUGAAGUCGGAAUUGCUAGUAAUACGCGGAUCAGCAUGCCGCGGUGAAUACGUUCCCGGGCCUUGUACACACCGCCCGUCACACCAUGAGAGUUGGAGAUACCCGAAGCCUAUGAGCUAACUUUUAGAGGCAGUAGUCGAAGGUAGAAUCAAUGAUUGGGGUGAAGUCGUAACAAGGUAUC